Molecule: ribosomal RNA, 498 nt
Filed under: uncultured bacterium
Lineage: Bacteria
Description: partial 16S ribosomal RNA
Rfam family: Bacterial small subunit ribosomal RNA
Source: RNAcentral
GACGAACGCUGGCGGCGUGCCUAAUACAUGCAAGUCGAACGAGAGCGACCGGUGCUUGCACUGGUCAAUCUAGUGGCGAACGGGUGAGUAACACGUGGGUAACCUGCUCAUCAGAGGGGGAUAACAUCCGGAAACGGAUGCUAAAACCGCAUAGGUCUUCGAGCCGCAUGGCUUGAAGAGGAAAAGAGGCGCAAGCUUCUGCUGAUGGAUGGACCCGCGGUGCAUUAGCUAGUUGGUGAGGUAACGGCUCACCAAGGCCGUGAUGCAUAGCCGACCUGAGAGGGUGAUCGGCCACAUUGAGACUGAGACACGGCCCAAACUCCUACGGGAGGCAGCAGUAGGGAAUCUUCCGCAAUGGACGCAAGUCUGACGGAGCAACGCCGCGUGAGUGAAGAAGGUUUUCGGAUCGUAAAACUCUGUUGUUAGAGAAGAACAAGUGCUAGAGUAACUGUUAGCGCCUUGACGGUAUCUAACCAGAAAGCCACGGCUAACUACGUG